AGAGUUUGAUCCUGGCUCAGGGCGAACGCUGGCGGCAGGCUUAACACAUGCAAGUCGAACGGGCAUCUUCGGAUGUCAGUGGCAGACGGGUGAGUAACACGUGGGAACGUACCCUUCGGUUCGGAAUAACUCAGGGAAACUUGAGCUAAUACCGGAUACGCCCUUUUGGGGAAAGGUUUACUGCCGAAGGAUCGGCCCGCGUCUGAUUAGCUUGUUGGUGGGGUAACGGCCUACCAAGGCGACGAUCAGUAGCUGGUCUGAGAGGAUGAUCAGCCACACUGGGACUGAGACACGGCCCAGACUCCUACGGGAGGCAGCAGUGGGGAAUAUUGGACAAUGGGCGCAAGCCUGAUCCAGCCAUGCCGCGUGAGUGAUGAAGGCCUUAGGGUUGUAAAGCUCUUUUGUCCGGGACGAUAAUGACGGUACCGGAAGAAUAAGCCCCGGCUAACUUCGUGCCAGCAGCCGCGGUAAUACGAAGGGGGCUAGCGUUGCUCGGAAUCACUGGGCGUAAAGGGCGCGUAGGCGGCCGAUUAAGUCGGGGGUGAAAGCCUGUGGCUCAACCACAGAAUUGCCUUCGAUACUGGUUGGCUUGAGACCGGAAGAGGACAGCGGAACUGCGAGUGUAGAGGUGAAAUUCGUAGAUAUUCGCAAGAACACCAGUGGCGAAGGCGGCUGUCUGGUCCGGUUCUGACGCUGAGGCGCGAAAGCGUGGGGAGCAAACAGGAUUAGAUACCCUGAUAGUCCACGCCGUAAACGAUGAAUGCCAGCCGUUGGCCUGCUUGCAGUCAGUGGCGCCGCUAACGCAUUAAGCAUUCCGCCUGGGGGGAGUACCGGUCCCCAGGAUUAAAACUCAAAGGAAUUGACGG
Molecule: ribosomal RNA, 866 nt
Filed under: uncultured bacterium
Lineage: Bacteria
Description: bacterial SSU rRNA
Rfam family: Bacterial small subunit ribosomal RNA
Source: RNAcentral